ACGGAAGGCAGCAGUGGGGAAUAUUGCACAAUGGGGGAAACCCUGAUGUAGCGACGCCGCGUGAGCGAUGAAGUAUUUCGGUAUGUAAAGCUCUAUCAGCAGGGAAGAAAAUGACGGUACCUGACUAAGAAGCUCCGGCUAAAUACGUGCCAGCAGCCGCGGUAAUACGUAUGGAGCAAGCGUUAUCCGGAUUUACUGGGUGUAAAGGGAGCGUAGGCGGAAGGCUAAGUCUGAUGUGAAAACCCAGGGCUCAACCUUGGGACUGCAUUGGAAACUGGUUUUCUAGAGUGUCGGAGGGGUAAGUGGAAUUCCUAGUGUAGCGGUGAAAUGCGUAGAUAUUAGGAGGAACACCAGUGGCGAAGGCGGCUUACUGGACGACAACUGACGCUGAGGCUCGAAAGCGUGGGGAGCAAACAGGAUUAGAUACCCUGGUA
Molecule: ribosomal RNA, 434 nt
Filed under: uncultured Lachnospiraceae bacterium
Lineage: Bacteria; Bacillati; Bacillota; Clostridia; Lachnospirales; Lachnospiraceae
Description: partial 16S ribosomal RNA
Rfam family: Bacterial small subunit ribosomal RNA
Source: RNAcentral